UUAUUUUAUUUUUGUUGCAUUUUUAUUUAAAAGUAAUUUUUAGGAGAAAAAUGGAAAAUGGGGUGAAAUCUAGUGGGAAAACACUCGUGGGAGAGGCUCGCAUGCGCGGGCGUAGCACAUUGUGCGCAGGCGUGCGUGCGCAACAAGCGUAGGACGUGUGCAAUGUGCACACAUCCUAUCCUUGCAGGGUGCGGGCCUGUUUUGCACGUGCGUCCCAUCACGCGCAGACAGGUUAGUCCACAAGUGUGUCCCAUCGCACACGGACAGGGUAAGGUGCCAUAUGCCCCAUGCGCUCACUGUCUGCGUAGUAGGCUUGCAUGUAUUCUUUGAUGAAAAUAUUAUUUUUUAAUCUUUCUAUCCUAAAUUUUAAUUCCAAGAUCCGAACAUGUAUUCAUAUAUAUUAAAUCCCAAACAAAAAUCUCUUUCGAGAUCUAAACAAAAUUUGAGUAGCUAGUAAACUUAAUCAUCAUCCUAAGUAAACUUAAUCUACUGUGUAUAAGAAAAUUAAAAAAAGGAAAAGAAGAGAGCAAAGCAUUCUAAUAGUUUAAAACUACAUUGGGCAUGCAUGUAUUUUAACAAAUAGCAAUGAAGAGACAUCAAGCCGAGGCGAGAGAGAAAUUAAAAGAAAGAAGAAUAAUACUAGUAUAUGAGAUAUAAAAUAUUAAAGAGAAGAUUAAUCUGAAGAAAAUUAAAACACAAACAAAUACCUUUACAUGCAUGCAUGCGAUGCGACAUUUAUGUUGACUAUUACGUGAUGACUACGAUGACUAGUACUAUGACAACGACGACUACAACUAUUAAGAAUUUGAAGAUAUAUAUAUGUGGUUGAUUGUAAUUGGUUAUUUAAGCACAUCCCGACAACAAUCCAAACAAUUCAAAAUCAAACAUCUUAUCAUUCCAUUCCUAAGAAUAAUUAAACCUCCAGAGCACAUCUGUAUAUGAUUUUGGUUGUGCUGAUCAAACAACACCAUCAUCUCCACUUGGUCCCCGUUACUAAACACGAAAUGAGUUGUUGUUGUGCUUGCGGGUUAAUACCAUCAAUGAACCAUCACUACAACUGCUGAAGCUUAUGCGAUAGAGAAUCCUAGUUGAUAUAAGAGGAUGUCUCCCCCGGACCCUUCAUCACUCCUCCAUUUGUGGCCCCAUGAGGCUUAGGUGAUUUACAGAGUGUUUCUAUCAUGUUUUUGGAUUUCUUUGAGGUUUUAUUCAAUUAGCCAACCU
Molecule: long non-coding RNA, 1221 nt
Filed under: Carica papaya (papaya)
Lineage: Eukaryota; Viridiplantae; Streptophyta; Magnoliopsida; Brassicales; Caricaceae
Description: long non-coding RNA (CPAP_LNC015805)
Source: RNAcentral